This 482-nucleotide long non-coding RNA is filed under the name Chinchilla lanigera (long-tailed chinchilla). RNAcentral describes it as "lncRNA (ENSCLAG00000027557.1)". The record is from RNAcentral. Lineage: Eukaryota; Metazoa; Chordata; Mammalia; Rodentia; Chinchillidae.
UCCACUCACACUGCAAGGAGUUGCAUCCUUCCCUUCUCUUCUCUUCCCCUCAGUGCCUCCAGGGGCCAUGCAGAAAGGGAACAGGUGGCACCAGAGUCUCAGGGACCGCAGGAGCAGAGGACCAAAAGCAGUCAAAUUUAAAACUGUGAGAACCCAUCUCAGGGAAAUCUGAGCUGGGUUCCUGAACAUACCACAGAAUGUGUCAUCAAGACCACGGAUAAGUUCUCCACCUAGCCGACUGGGAAACUGGAAGCCAGAGAGGGCAGAUGGAAGCUGAGGAGGCCAGAUGGAUGUGAUAAAAGAUGCUGGGCCCUAGGUGUGUUGAGUGGGUGCCUCACAUCCCCUUCUGUCCCCAGCAUCCUCUGGCUCUUCAGUUAUGAGCUCAGACCCCCACAGGAGUGACCCACCAAGCAGACUAAAUACAUGCUCACUAACCAGUGAGUUGGAGACACCCAACAAGGAGAAUAAACAUAAUUUCUGAA